AAGGUUUCCGUAGGUGAACCUGCGGAAGGAUCAUUAUUGAAAUAAACCUGAUGGGUUGCUGCUGGUUCUCUAGGGAGCAUGUGCACACUUGUCAUCUUUAUAUCUCCACCUGUGCACCUUUUGUAGACCUGGAUAAUCUUUCUGGAUGGCCUAGGCAAUUCAGGUUUGAGGAAUAACUUUACUGUCUUUCCUUACAUUUCCAGGCCUAUGUUUCUUCAUAUACCCCAAUGUAUGUUAUAGAAUGUAAUAAACGGGCCUUUGUGCCUAUAAAUCUAUACAACUUUCAGCAACGGAUCUCUUGGCUCUCGCAUCGAUGAAGAACGCAGCGAAAUGCGAUAAGUAAUGUGAAUUGCAGAAUUCAGUGAAUCAUCGAAUCUUUGAACGCACCUUGCGCUCCUUGGUAUUCCGAGGAGCAUGCCUGUUUGAGUGUCAUUAAAUAUAUCAACCUCCUCAAGUUUUGCUUGUUGAGUGUUGGAUGUGGGGGUYUUUUGCUGGUCUCUUUCUGAGAUCGGCUCCCCUGAAAUGCAUUAGCGGAACAAUUUGUUGACCGUUCAUUGGUGUGAUAACUAUCUACGCUAUUGACGUGAAGCAGGUUCAGCUUCUAACAGUCCAUUGACUUGGACAAAUUUUCAUUAAUGUGACCUCAAAUCAGGUA
Molecule: ribosomal RNA, 655 nt
Filed under: Cortinarius leptospermorum
Lineage: Eukaryota; Fungi; Basidiomycota; Agaricomycetes; Agaricales; Cortinariaceae
Description: eukaryotic LSU rRNA
Rfam family: 5.8S ribosomal RNA (bases 279-432)
Source: RNAcentral